CCGGGUAAGCCAUGCUGGUUAUGUGCAGUCAGACUGUAAAUCUGAUGUCUUCGGACUUCGGGGGUUCGAUUCCCUCUACCCGGAC
This 85-nucleotide transfer RNA is filed under the name Mycobacterium phage NuevoMundo. RNAcentral describes it as "tRNA-Tyr". It matches the Rfam family "tRNA". Rfam says of the family: Transfer RNA (tRNA) molecules are approximately 80 nucleotides in length. Their secondary structure includes four short double-helical elements and three loops (D, anti-codon, and T loops). Further hydrogen bonds mediate the characteristic L-shaped molecular structure. tRNAs have two regions of fundamental functional importance: the anti-codon, which is responsible for specific mRNA codon recognition, and the 3' end, to which the tRNAs corresponding amino acid is attached (by aminoacyl-tRNA synthetases). tRNAs cope with the degeneracy of the genetic code in two manners: having more than one tRNA (with a specific anti-codon) for a particular amino acid; and 'wobble' base-pairing, i.e. permitting non-standard base-pairing at the 3rd anti-codon position. The record is from RNAcentral. RNAcentral also lists the same sequence under 2 other names. Lineage: Duplodnaviria; Heunggongvirae; Uroviricota; Caudoviricetes.